This 900-nucleotide unclassified non-coding RNA is filed under the name Hevea brasiliensis (rubber tree). Lineage: Eukaryota; Viridiplantae; Streptophyta; Magnoliopsida; Malpighiales; Euphorbiaceae. The record is from RNAcentral.
UCAAGUGAAGAUUGUAAAGAAUAAGCUUGCUCCCCCAUUUAAAACUUUCCAAUUUGAACUUGAGUUUGGAAAGGGAAUAUGCCGGGAAUCAGAGAUCAUAGAUUUGGGAGUAAAACACAAAUUCCUUGGCAAGGCUGGUUCAUUUUACAAUUAUAAUGGUCAGAAUUUCCAUGGGAGGGAAGCCCUUAGACGGUUUCUGGCUGAAAAUGAUGUUGCACGGGAAGAACUUGUGAUAAAGCUCAGGCAAGAGCUACUUGAUUUCGGCUCAAGUAAGGAAGAGGGAACAGAAGCUACUUGUGGAGAACCUAUAGAAGAAAUCAUAUCACCCGACUCUACUGAUGAAGAAGCAGUUACUGCAGUAGAAGCGUAGUGUGCAAAACUGCAAAUACAUCAAAUUUUAGAUUGAGGUUAUCCUGCUAGAUUCAAUUCAGAUUUCCAAGGGAUCCUGUAAUCCUGCAGUCCCCAUUUCCUGCUUAUUAAUAUGAAAGGCCAUUGCUUUCUAAUCACAAGCUAUCAUUGCUUAUAUAUUCAUAUGGGCUAGAGCGUACAAAUGAUAGCUUUGCAAGUUAAAUGUGUUUAAGUUGAUAGUGUAAAUUUUCGGGCAGAGCAGGUUAAUUUUUGUGGCUUCCAAAAGAAGUAACUCCAAGCAGGCCAGGCACAAAAUUUCUUUAGAUAUCCAACUCUAUUAUACAUGUGAACCAGAACAACUUAAGCACAAUGUAAUUUGUUGCUACCUCUGCAUUAUUUUCUGUAUCGAGGGCACUAUGGCAUAGCGGUAUUUAUGUUUUAGGCAGAAGGCAGUCACAUUUUAUGAUCAUGAAAGCCAUCUAUAUCACCAGAAUAUUUAUUUGAUUAUUGAAUCGAUAACAAAAAGCAGGCUCAAUGGAACUCGUAUUGAAA